This 65-nucleotide transfer RNA is filed under the name Acanthobothrium sp. MZUSP 7998. RNAcentral's name for it is "tRNA-Gly". Lineage: Eukaryota; Metazoa; Platyhelminthes; Cestoda; Tetraphyllidea; Onchobothriidae. The record is from RNAcentral.
ACGUUAUUAGUAUAUUUAUUAUACUGCUUUUCCAAAGCAGUGAUCUAGAUUAUCUAGAUAACGUA